GCGAACCGGGGGAACUGAAACAUCUAAGUACCCCGAGGAAAAGAAAUCAACCGAGAUUCCCCCAGUAGCGGCGAGCGAACGGGGAGCAGCCCAGAGCCUGAAUCAGUAUGUGUGUUAGUGGAAGCGUCUGGAAAGGCGCGCGAUACAGGGUGACAGCCCCGUACACAAAAAUGCACAUGCUGUGAGCUCGAUGAGUAGGGCGGGACACGUGGUAUCCUGUCUGAAUAUGGGGGGACCAUCCUCCAAGGCUAAAUACUCCUGACUGACCGAUAGUGAACCAGUACCGUGAGGGAAAGGCGAAAAGAACCCCGGCGAGGGGAGUGAAAAAGAACCUGAAACCGUGUACGUACAAGCAGUGGGAGCACGCUUAGGCGUGUGACUGCGUACCUUUUGUAUAAUGGGUCAGCGACUUAUAUUCUGUAGCAAGGUUAACCGAAUAGGGGAGCCGAAGGGAAACCGAGUCUUAACUGGGCGUUAAGUUGCAGGGUAUAGACCCGAAACCCGGUGAUCUAGCCAUGGGCAGGUUGAAGGUUGGGUAACACUAACUGGAGGACCGAACCGACUAAUGUUGAAAAAUUAGCGGAUGACUUGUGGCUGGGGGUGAAAGGCCAAUCAAACCGGGAGAUAGCUGGUUCUCCCCGAAAGCUAUUUAGGUAGCGCCUCGUGAAUUCAUCUCCGGGGGUAGAGCACUGUUUCGGCAAGGGGGUCAUCCCGACUUACCAACCCGAUGCAAACUGCGAAUACCGGAGAAUGUUAUCACGGGAGACACACGGCGGGUGCUAACGUCCGUCGUGAAGAGGGAAACAACCCAGACCGCCAGCUAAGGUCCCAAAGUCAUGGUUAAGUGGGAAACGAUGUGGGAAGGCCCAGACAGCCAGGAUGUUGGCUUAGAAGCAGCCAUCAUUUAAAGAAAGCGUAAUAGCUCACUGGUCGAGUCGGCCUGCGCGGAAGAUGUAACGGGGCUAAACCAUGCACCGAAGCUGCGGCAGCGACGCUGAUGCGUUGUUGGGUAGGGGAGCGUUCUGUAAGCCUGCGAAGGUGUGCUGUGAGGCAUGCUGGAGGUAUCAGAAGUGCGAAUGCUGACAUAAGUAACGAUAAAGCGGGUGAAAAGCCCGCUCGCCGGAAGACCAAGGGUUCCUGUCCAACGUUAAUCGGGGCAGGGUGAGUCGACCCCUAAGGCGAGGCCGAAAGGCGUAGUCGAUGGGAAACAGGUUAAUAUUCCUGUACUUGGUGUUACUGCGAAGGGGGGACGGAGAAGGCUAUGUUGGCCGGGCGACGGUUGUCCCGGUUUAAGCGUGUAGGCUGGUUUUCCAGGCAAAUCCGGAAAAUCAAGGCUGAGGCGUGAUGACGAGGCACUACGGUGCUGAAGCAACAAAUGCCCUGCUUCCAGGAAAAGCCUCUAAGCAUCAGGUAACAUCAAAUCGUACCCCAAACCGACACAGGUGGUCAGGUAGAGAAUACCAAGGCGCUUGAGAGAACUCGGGUGAAGGAACUAGGCAAAAUGGUGCCGUAACUUCGGGAGAAGGCACGCUGAUAUGUAGGUGAAGUCCCUCGCGGAUGGAGCUGAAAUCAGUCGAAGAUACCAGCUGGCUGCAACUGUUUAUUAAAAACACAGCACUGUGCAAACACGAAAGUGGACGUAUACGGUGUGACGCCUGCCCGGUGCCGGAAGGUUAAUUGAUGGGGUUAGCGCAAGCGAAGCUCUUGAUCGAAGCCCCGGUAAACGGCGGCCGUAACUAUAACGGUCCUAAGGUAGCGAAAUUCCUUGUCGGGUAAGUUCCGACCUGCACGAAUGGCGUAAUGAUGGCCAGGCUGUCUCCACCCGAGACUCAGUGAAAUUGAACUCGCUGUGAAGAUGCAGUGUACCCGCGGCAAGACGGAAAGACCCCGUGAACCUUUACUAUAGCUUGACACUGAACAUUGAGCCUUGAUGUGUAGGAUAGGUGGGAGGCUUUGAAGUGUGGACGCCAGUCUGCAUGGAGCCGACCUUGAAAUACCACCCUUUAAUGUUUGAUGUUCUAACGUUGACCCGUAAUCCGGGUUGCGGACAGUGUCUGGUGGGUAGUUUGACUGGGGCGGUCUCCUCCUAAAGAGUAACGGAGGAGCACGAAGGUUGGCUAAUCCUGGUCGGACAUCAGGAGGUUAGUGCAAUGGCAUAAGCCAGCUUGACUGCGAGCGUGACGGCGCGAGCAGGUGCGAAAGCAGGUCAUAGUGAUCCGGUGGUUCUGAAUGGAAGGGCCAUCGCUCAACGGAUAAAAGGUACUCCGGGGAUAACAGGCUGAUACCGCCCAAGAGUUCAUAUCGACGGCGGUGUUUGGCACCUCGAUGUCGGCUCAUCACAUCCUGGGGCUGAAGUAGGUCCCAAGGGUAUGGCUGUUCGCCAUUUAAAGUGGUACGCGAGCUGGGUUUAGAACGUCGUGAGACAGUUCGGUCCCUAUCUGCCGUGGGCGCUGGAGAACUGAGGGGGGCUGCUCCUAGUACGAGAGGACCGGAGUGGACGCAUCACUGGUGUUCGG
Molecule: ribosomal RNA, 2516 nt
Filed under: Escherichia coli
Lineage: Bacteria; Pseudomonadati; Pseudomonadota; Gammaproteobacteria; Enterobacterales; Enterobacteriaceae
Description: partial 23S ribosomal RNA
Rfam family: Bacterial large subunit ribosomal RNA
Source: RNAcentral